AAUAUUGCACAAUGGGGGAAACCCUGAUGCAGCGACUCCGCGUGAGCGAAGCAGGCCUUCGGGUCGUAAAGCCCUUUCCUAAGGGAAGAAACGGACGGAACCUUAGCAUGAUGCGCCGGCUAACAAAGUUCCAGCAGCCGCGGUAAUCCGUAGGGGGCGAGCGUUAUCCGGAAUUACUGGGCGUAAAGGGUGCGUAGGCGGCCUUUUAAGUCAGAUGUGAAAGGCUACGGCUUAACCGUAGUUAGGAUUUGAAACUAAGAGGCUUGGGUGCAGGAGAGGUGAGUGGAAUUCCUAGUGUAAGAGUGAAAUGCGUAGAUAUUAGGAGAAACACCAGUGGGGAAGGCGACUCUCUGGACUGCAACUGACGCUGAGGCACGAAAGCGUGGGGAGCGAA
RNAcentral lists this ribosomal RNA (394 nucleotides) under uncultured bacterium. RNAcentral describes it as "partial 16S ribosomal RNA". It matches the Rfam family "Bacterial small subunit ribosomal RNA", at positions 360 to 772 of the family's 1533-position model. The record is from RNAcentral.